Molecule: ribosomal RNA, 116 nt
Filed under: Microcebus murinus (gray mouse lemur)
Lineage: Eukaryota; Metazoa; Chordata; Mammalia; Primates; Cheirogaleidae
Source: RNAcentral
CUAGGGCCAUACCACCCUGAAUGCGCCCGAUAUUCUCUGAUCUCGGAAGCUAAGCAGGGUCGGGCCUGGUUAGUACUUGGACGGGAGAAUUCUAGGAGACAGGACAGCGGCCUAAU